GUCACGCGCCGAGCGGGUUCCGGGUGCGGGCGGUGCGCGCAGGUGGGGCGGGGCGGGAGAGCGGGGGGGGCACAGAGCGCGGCCGUGCGGGGCGGGGGGGGGCGCGAGGGGCGGGCAGUGCGCGGGGUGAGGGGGGGGUCCGGCACACGGAGGGGUGCGGUGCGGUGCGGUGCUCGGAGAGGGCCCCACGCAGGGAGGGCGCCCCGGGGUCGCGGUGACGGCACCCACAGACGGCCCUUCCCGCUGCGUCCGCGUGGCUGAGCGCUGCGUAACCGCCCCCCCCCCCGGCGCACUGCACGCCGUCAUUACCGGGGCCGCCUCAGCCCCGCCGCCGUCCCGCCGCUCCAUCCGUCCCCAUGGUGGGAGCGGCCGUCGCCGCACCGCCGCAGCCGCAGCUAUGAGCAACGCGACGGCUCCCAGCGCUCCCGGCGCGGCGGGCGAUUCGUUGGUGGGCUCCGUGCUCGGCCCCUUCGUGCUGCUCACACUGCUGGGCGCCGUCGUGGCUGCGGUGAUGUACGUCCAGAAGAAGCGGAGGUCGGAGCGCCUGCGGCACCGCCUGCUGCCCAUGUACAGCUACGACCCCGCCGAGGAGCUGCAGGAGUCUGAGCACGAGCUGCUGGUGGAGGCGGAGGAGCACCAGGUGGGUCCCAACUGGGGGUCCCGUGGGGGCUGGAGGGCCUGAGGCUGCCCCACAGCGGGGCCGGGCCCCACAGCUCUCCCCGGCAGCGGCUGCACAGCACCAGGAGCAGCGUCAGUGGCCCCACAAGCACUGAUGGUAAUGGGGCAUCUGCCACCUUCCUGCACAUUUCUGCUGCUGUUUUUGUUGAAACCACCCUAAAAACCCCAUAAAUGCACUGGGGAUGGGGUGGGAAAUGCACUGAGGCUGUGAGACAGGUGCAGCCCCACGGACUCCUGUAGGCCCUAUAUGGGGUUUAUGGGGCUGGGACACCCCAGGCUCCCCAAGUGGGGGCAAAUAAACGUUUCUCUGUAAUAA
Gallus gallus (chicken) is the source of this 994-nucleotide long non-coding RNA. RefSeq lists it as uncharacterized. NCBI's taxonomy places the organism in Eukaryota, Metazoa, Chordata, Aves, Galliformes, Phasianidae. The record is from RefSeq and is marked validated. The transcript has 5 exons.